AUAAAAUUUUUUUUAAAUAGUAUCGGAUGAAAAUAAGUUUAACUGGCGGUCUUUCGAGUAUUACGAGAUAUAUUUGUCGCAAAACGCUCAAGAGUGGGCUUACUAAGUUUGAGCACGCAGGGCUGAGCUGGAUUCUCCUUCACGCAUUCCACGAAUCGUUGCGUGCGUGCUGCUAAUCCGAAUCAUCGACACGGGAUGUUUUUCUCUCGAUAAUUGAAAAUAAUCGAGAAGCGAUACGUAUCAAGUGUAUAUAUAUCAAUACGAGAGAAUGUGCGUCAGAUAUUAGUGAGUCAUUCGUGACGAAAUAAAGGUGUUGGUUUCUACGUACUACGUACGGUGAAGAUGAGAGAGGGGAGUAGUCGAUGAGAUGUGUUAUUGCGCGCGUCGCAUCUGGUCACAUCGGGAAGCAUUCUGUGGUGAGACAGAUAGUUCCGCUUCUCUCUCUCUCUCUCUCUCUCUCUCUCUCUCCCCCUUCCUCUUUAUCCCCUCCUCCACCCUUUUCUCUUUCUCUCUCUUGUUUAAUUCGCGUGACACAAAGCGCGAAGAAUAAGGUAACCAAGUUAUCGUUAAGUCUAUC
Long non-coding RNA from Trachymyrmex cornetzi, 577 nucleotides. RefSeq lists it as uncharacterized. NCBI's taxonomy places the organism in Eukaryota, Metazoa, Arthropoda, Insecta, Hymenoptera, Formicidae. The transcript has 3 exons. The record is from RefSeq and is a predicted model, not a curated record.